RNAcentral lists this ribosomal RNA (253 nucleotides) under uncultured organism. RNAcentral's name for it is "partial 16S ribosomal RNA". It matches the Rfam family "Bacterial small subunit ribosomal RNA", at positions 524 to 776 of the family's 1533-position model. The record is from RNAcentral.
UACGGGGGGUGCAAGCGUUAAUCGGAAUUACUGGGCGUAAAGGGUGCGUAGGUUGUUUUAUAAGCUAGUUGCGAAAUACCUAGGCUUAACCUUGGGGAGUCAACUAGGACUGUAAGACUUGAGUAUGGGAGAGGGUAGUGGAAUUUCCGGUGUAGCGGUGAAAUGCGUAGAGAUCGGAAGGAACACCGGUGGCGAAGGCGGCUACCUGGCCCAUGACUGACACUGAGGCACGAAAGCGUGGGGAGCAAACAGG